CCUACGGGUGGCAGCAGUGGGGAAUAUUGGGCAAUGGGCGCAAGCCUGACCCAGCAACGCCGCGUGAAGGAAGACGGCUUUCGGGUUGUAAACUUCUUUUCUCAGGGACGAAGCAAGUGACGGUACCUGAUGAAUAAGCCACGGCUAACUACGUGCCAGCAGCCGCGGGAAUACGUAGGUGGCAAGCGUUAUCCGGAUUUACUGGGUGUAAAGGGCGUGUAGGCGGGGACGCAAGUCAGAUGUGAAAACCACGGGCUCAACCUGUGGCCUGCAUUUGAAACUGUGUUUCUUGAGUACUGGAGAGGCAGACGGAAUUCGUAGUGUAGCGGUGAAAUGCGUAGAUAUUAGGAGGAACACCAGUGGCGAAGGCGGUCUGCUGGACAGCAACUGACGCUGAGGCGCGAAAGCGUGGGGAGCAAACAGGAUUAGAUACCCGGGUAGUC
This 443-nucleotide ribosomal RNA is filed under the name uncultured bacterium. RNAcentral describes it as "partial 16S ribosomal RNA". It matches the Rfam family "Bacterial small subunit ribosomal RNA", at positions 338 to 795 of the family's 1533-position model. The record is from RNAcentral.